UUUAGUUCCUUCCCUCCCUCCGUCGAGCCAUGUUCUUUCCGCCAAAAGCCCCCUUUCCUUCUCUACUCCAUAGUUCUUACCCCUUUUCGUUUUCUUCCCAUCGAAAAGAGGAGGCAGCUGUGCUCUUGGCCCUCUCCCUUCUCUACUCAGUUUGUGCUCUUACUCUACUCUCUUCUCGACUCACCCUUCUCUCUCACCUCUUUCCAUAGCCCCCAACAUCUACACCGUGAGGAUCCCAAAGAUCCCAAGCUUUAAAUCCCAAAGAUCCUUGACCAACCCUCAACGCUCGUGUCCUGAGCUCCAAUGGCUUCAUCUUCUGUCGCUAACACAAGUGCGGA
Molecule: long non-coding RNA, 338 nt
Filed under: Elaeis guineensis (African oil palm)
Lineage: Eukaryota; Viridiplantae; Streptophyta; Magnoliopsida; Arecales; Arecaceae
Description: long non-coding RNA (EGUI_LNC005627)
Source: RNAcentral